UGGUGGAGCUUCGUUUCUUCGAGGCCUGAUGCCCUGAUGGAUAGAGAUUCCAGCUCACCUUAAAGGCCACAUGACAUAGUCAUGGGGUUUCAUGGCCUGAUCAUAAAAUUUCACUCGAAUAUCAGAUCAGAUGGAUUGGGGUUGCUGUUUUUCAUCAAGCCUAUGCACAUGACAUCAUCAAAUUUGUCUGGGAUUUUAGAAGUUUCUAUUGAUGCUAUAGUAAGGAAGGAGUGGUAGAAUGUUGAUUACCAGUGGUAAUUUAGACUUUUUACGUGCAUAUGGUGUGGGGGCCACUCGUCCUUACCUGUAGAGAGACGCAAGCACUCGGCUUUCAAUCUACUCUUCUCCAGAGAGUUCACGUGAGGGAGAAGAAAGGAGAGGGAGACACGAAGAGCUCCACCAAGGCACCAACGAAGCUGCCAUC
RNAcentral lists this long non-coding RNA (424 nucleotides) under Brachypodium distachyon (stiff brome). RNAcentral describes it as "long non-coding RNA (BDIS_LNC001674)". The record is from RNAcentral. Lineage: Eukaryota; Viridiplantae; Streptophyta; Magnoliopsida; Poales; Poaceae.